This 459-nucleotide ribosomal RNA is filed under the name uncultured bacterium. RNAcentral describes it as "partial 16S ribosomal RNA". It matches the Rfam family "Bacterial small subunit ribosomal RNA", at positions 338 to 795 of the family's 1533-position model. The record is from RNAcentral.
CCUACGGUGAGCAGCAGUGAGGAAUAUUGGUCAAUGGACGCAAGUCUGAACCAGCCAUGCCGCGUGCAGGAAGACGGCUCUAUGAGUUGUAAACUGCUUAUGUACGAGGGUAAACGCAGAUACGCGUAUCUGUCUGCAAGUAUCGUACGAAUAAGGAUCGGCUAACUCCGUGCCAGCAGCCGCGGUACUACGGGGGAUGCGCGCGUUAUCCGGAUUUAGUGGGUUUAAAGGGUGCGCAGGCGGCCUGUUAAGUCCGCGGUAACAGCCCGGGGCUCAACCCCGGCGAGCCGUUGACACUGGCGGGCUGGAGGUGGAGAGAAGGACGCGGAAUGCGCGGUGUAGCGGUGAAAGGCUUAGAUAUCGCGCAGAACCCCGAUUGCGAAGGCAGCGUACCGGCUCCACACUGACGCUGAGGCACGAAAGCGUGGGUAUCGAACAGGAUUAGAUACCCCUGUAGUC